AGAGUUUGAUCAUGGCUCAGAGCGGACGCUGGCGGCAUGCUUAACACAUGCAAGCCGCACGGGCAGUAGCAAUAUUGUCAGUGGCGGACGGGUGAGUAACGCGUAGGAAUCUAUCUUUGGAUGGGGGACAACCGUGGGAAACUACGGCUAAUACCGCAUAAUGCCUGAGGGCCAAAGCUUGAGAGAGCGUCUGAAGAGGAGCCUGCGUCUGAUUAGCUAGUUGGUGGGGUAAAGGCCUACCAAGGCUUCGAUCAGUAGCUGGUCUGAGAGGAUGAUCAGCCACAUUGGGACUGAGACACGGCCCAAACUCCUACGGGAGGCAGCAGUGGGGAAUAUUGGACAAUGGGCGCAAGCCUGAUCCAGCAAUGCCGCGUGGGUGAAGAAGGUUUUCGGAUUGUAAAGCCCUUUUGGCGGGGACGAUGAUGACGGUACCCGCAGAAUAAGCUCCGGCUAACUUCGUGCCAGCAGCCGCGGUAAUACGAAGGGGGCUAGCGUUGCUCGGAAUGACUGGGCGUAAAGGGCGCGUAGGCGGACUGCACAGUCAGGCGUGAAAUUCCUGGGCUUAACCUGGGGACUGCGUCUGAGACGUGUGAUCUAGAGUGAGGAAGAGGGUCGUGGAAUUUCCAGUGUAGAGGUGAAAUUCGUAGAUAUUGGAAAAGAACACCGGUGGCGAAGG
Molecule: ribosomal RNA, 676 nt
Filed under: uncultured bacterium
Lineage: Bacteria
Description: bacterial SSU rRNA
Rfam family: Bacterial small subunit ribosomal RNA
Source: RNAcentral